AAGGUGAAAUGCUUAUUGGUGGUUUCAAAUAUUAUUAGUAUGAAUGUAGGGAGCUCAAUCUUGGGGGUUAUCCUAGUACUCUAAUGGUCUUUCAUUCUUAAGUAAAGAAGACUGAGAUAUGUAGUGAGAGUAACAAGAGGUCUUAGUCUAUGCAUUUCCAAUAUGGCCUACGGUGUAGUACGAACUAACCUUGUGAGGGUAGUAGGGUGAAACACAUUGACAAUGACUUUGCAAAGCAGAAGCCACCACAAGUGCACAAUCCGC
Molecule: long non-coding RNA, 264 nt
Filed under: Vigna radiata
Lineage: Eukaryota; Viridiplantae; Streptophyta; Magnoliopsida; Fabales; Fabaceae
Description: long non-coding RNA (VRAD_LNC011123)
Source: RNAcentral